RNAcentral lists this ribosomal RNA (253 nucleotides) under uncultured bacterium. Its description in RNAcentral is "partial 16S ribosomal RNA". It matches the Rfam family "Bacterial small subunit ribosomal RNA", at positions 524 to 776 of the family's 1533-position model. The record is from RNAcentral.
UACGAAGGGUGCAAACGUUGCUCGGAAUCAUUGGGCGUAAAGCGCACGUAGGCGGCUUCGCAAGUCGGAUGUGAAAUCCCUCGGCUCAACCAAGGACGUGCAUCCGAAACUGCAAAGCUUGAGUACAGAAGAGGAUCGCGGAAUUCCCGGUGUAGAGGUGAAAUUCGUAGAUAUCGGGAGGAACACCAGUGGCGAAGGCGGCGAUCUGGGCUGAUACUGACGCUGAGGUGCGAAAGCCAGGGUAGCGAACGGG